AUGAGCUUUAGAAAGUUGUUGACGGAUUUUCCAAAAUGUGUGUUCGGGGAGGCUAAUCUAAACACAAUAGUUGGAAGAUGCAUUUCUGAACUAGUACAGAUUAAAGAUCAAGUUUUGAAGCUUUUUUCUUGUGUUUCCAACUCAUCCAAAGUCAUUCAAGCAAUUGCGAUCAAUAUCAAAGCACAUACACUCUACACCCAAUCCAUCACAUUUAAAAGACAAUAG
This is a non-coding RNA of Vicia faba (fava bean), 225 nucleotides long. The record is from the annotation of a GenBank genome assembly. NCBI's taxonomy places the organism in Eukaryota, Viridiplantae, Streptophyta, Magnoliopsida, Fabales, Fabaceae.